Molecule: non-coding RNA, 1326 nt
Organism: Pelodiscus sinensis (Chinese soft-shelled turtle)
Lineage: Eukaryota; Metazoa; Chordata; Testudines; Trionychidae
Source: RefSeq, a predicted model, not a curated record
UUGCCUAUAUCUUUGUAAAGCAGAGUUUGGAGAGUUAUGCAGCUAAACAUGCUUUCCUCUUUCCCCACUUUGGGCUUUCCAGGCAAAUCACUGAGCUGAACUAUUCUUGCCACACAAAAAGCUGUGGUCAUAAUUAGUGGAAUAUAAUACAGCCUUAAGGAUCAUUUACAUGCCAUGGAAUCUGCCUUUAGCAGGUAGUAUAUCUGAAUCGAGCAUCUGGAAAUGUAGCUCUAUCAGGAACCAUGUUCUCUAGGGACAAACAGGAAUUAGUGAGCCUAAGGUUUAGAGAGGACUCAAUGAGCUAAGGUAUGGAUUAUUAUUAUCUACUACUAUAAUAUUGGGGGAAAUCUGGAGGUUAAGGGAACGAACUUCAGUCUUCAUCUAUGGAUGGAAGGGGAACAGCCUUCGCUGAAUGAAAUAUUAGGCAAUUUAAUGAGUCAAAACUUAAUUGAAAGGCAAUGUAAGUGUGACACAAAUUGUCAUAAUCUCCCAGAAAUAUUCUAGAAUGUUGUUGUGAGAAGGAAGGUAGAAUUUUCACAGCUGUCCUUGCCAGACGUUCCUUUAAAAUCUUUACCCAAAGGAUCACCAAGCCUGUUUUUUGUUUUGCAUUGUUUUCCUUCCGCACAAAGUUUGAAUGAUUGCAUGUCUGAGAUUAUUAAGGCAUACCAGCAGAUGUGUUUGACAAAGCUAUUUAUCUCUCACUGCUCUCACAGGAGCACAAUAAAGUUAUCGCUGAAAUUUCAAACAAAAUAAAUACUAUCUUUCAGGCUUCAAUAAACAAAUCGCAUAAAAUACCAAAAUCUGUCUCUGAAAAGUAAAAAGUGGAAGAGAAGGGAAGCCAUUUAAGAAGAGCACUUUCUACCCUAUGAUAUCUUUGAAGGUUCAUUCCAAGUUUCAGGAGACACCACAGUGAAGAGUAAUUGUAAUAUACCUGGGGUACACAUGGGAACCCAGCAGGCAUUAUCAGAUACUACAAAGGAUAUUCUGUUCGUGGUUACUGAAAGCUACAUGGCACAGGAACCAUUUUUUGUAUGGAGUUCAUCACAGCAAUAUCAUUACAAGAUGAAGCUAUAUCAUCAUUAUAAAUCAACUACCUCAAAGUGAAGUAUCUACGUAUCAUGCCAUUAUGAAUUGCCAUCAUGAGAUGAAGAAUUAAUCUACAUGCUGCUUUCUCUUGAUGUGUAAUGAAGAUGAAAUUUCUAUAUGAUUAUUUGGUUAUAUCAUAAUUAAAUACUUCUUAGACUGUAUGUAUCUGUGUUAUAAAAACCUGUAAAUAACUGCAAUACAUAAUACAUAUUUCUCUAACAUGUUUAACCUUAGCUGUCA